This 879-nucleotide unclassified non-coding RNA is filed under the name Hevea brasiliensis (rubber tree). Lineage: Eukaryota; Viridiplantae; Streptophyta; Magnoliopsida; Malpighiales; Euphorbiaceae. The record is from RNAcentral.
CAAAACAAACACACUUUUAUAAAUAGACGCAACAGGAACAGAAACCAACAACAUGACACAAUUCAAAGUGCAGAAACAUAAAAGGCUUCUGGUGGAACACCAAAAGGCAAGACUAGUUGAGAAAUUGCACACAGACGUUGCAAAUCCCAACAGACACAAGUUUGGACGUAUAAGUCCAUUAUUCUGAGAAAACAACAGACACUGAAAUAAAAACAACAAUACGACCCUCAAGACAACACUACUCCUUUCCUUCUUUCUCUUCCUCCUUCCAGCAGCCCUUCAGAACGGACUUGGGAGAUUCACAGUAAGGAGUUCUAGUGAACUUCUGGUAGACAAUGGAACCGCCUUUGCCAAACUCUUCUGGACUCCACUCAGCAAGAGAGUAGCCCUUAACAUCAACAGAGCAAACAUGCUCCAGUAACUUGGUAGCAACAUCAGCAUGCAGAGCAAUAGAGAACUCAGCUGGCUCAAAACAUGCAAGCACCCUCUCAACCAGGGGACCCAACUCAUUGGUUUUAGGAUCAUAUCCAACAGAUUCAAAGCUGGCAUAGCUAAAGCCGUCCUCCGGGGUAAUGUGAAUGGUUGAAACAGCAGCUCCUUCAAUAGAAUUCAUAGAAUAACCACAGGGUUCAAACUCAAAAUCACAUAUCUCAGACUUGGGGAGGAUCUUCCUGAUGCCAGAUCUAACAGUCAUGUGAGCAGCCGAACUUUCUUCAGUUUUGUAGAAGACAGAUGCCUUCUCCCUGUUCAAACCAGUCAUACACAUCUCAAGAGUGUAAACAGGGUCAUUACACUGAACAGUCCCAGCUGAGGCAGAGUAGACAUGCCAUUUCUGUGAUUAUGGGAAAUCCCGACAAAACACAGAAAUGGCAUGUCUAC